Cinara cedri is the source of this 1098-nucleotide non-coding RNA. Lineage: Eukaryota; Metazoa; Arthropoda; Insecta; Hemiptera; Aphididae. The record is from the annotation of a GenBank genome assembly.
GCAUUGCUUUAUUUUGUUAAACAGUGAUAUUAAAUUUUCCAUAGGAAAACCACGCGAAAACUUUCAUUUUUAACGAAAUAUUAAAUAAUUUGUAGUGACGUUAUAUUUAUAUUUUAAGUGUAUAGUAAAAUAAUAUUUGUAAUUUACAGACUGCCCACGAGCUCCGAAGUUACAAGUGACAAAACAUAAAAAGUUCCCUUUUUCAAGUAAAAAAAGUGGCGUUUUACAUUUAUAAAAAAAAAAAGUAGCGAUAAUAACUGUAGGGAAUUUCUGUUUUUAAAAAUGUAUAACUGCAUUGCACUGAAGGUAGCGAUUUCAAUCCACCGGAUUAUCGGAUUUAUCUAAACAUAAAUUUGUCUUGACGAUUUGGUUGUUGACCCCAGAUGUCUUAACAUUGUUUCUCAUUUAUCUAGAUGUAAGAUGAAAAACAAAAAAAAAAAAAAAAAAAAAAAAAAAAAAAUAUACCCGCCUGGAUAAUUGUCUACGGAUAGGUGAAUAAAACAGCGCCUAUAACGCGUAUAUUAGUCGCGUUUCCGUCGCCAACGGCAGUAUAAUAUUGUAUUACUAAGUGUACCCAAGUCGUAAAACAUUAUUUUCGGUAUAGCGACUACUCACUACUAUACACGUAUUAUAGCUGGUAGACGUAUAAGCACGUCCCUGUUAAAUUCGUUAAUAAAACACACGCGAAACGCGGCAAUUAUUAUUUCUCCGAGGAACUGUCGUAGCUCGUAAGUGUGUCUUGCACAAAAAAAAAAAAAAAAAAUGCAUCUCAACAUGGGCACCAACGCGUAUAAUAUCACGCAAUUUAUUUCGUUUCGUUUUCUUAAUGAAAAUGUAAUAACAUAAUAAUAAUAAUAAUAAUAAUAUGCAUACGACAUUGCGACGGGAUAUUGCAAAAUAAUAAUAAUUGUAUUAAACGCAGCUAUACGGUGUUAUUAGGAGACACGCUAUUUUACUGCAUCACGACCGUAAUAUACCGGGUACCAGGAAAGUAUUAUUAUAUUAUUCACAUUCUCCACGCGACGAUAUAAUAUUAUAUUAUUAUCGUUGUUGUACUUGUGCUCCUAUAACCAAUACUACUACUACUACUACUAUUAC